UGCCUCCACAGAGUCUGUUUUUGUUAUUCACAGAAUAUGGUCGGUUCCCUCUUUUGUGUCUUCCCAGGAACGGUCUUUCAUAGAGCCUGCACGAUCGACAUCUGCGACCGGUCGACACGCACCUGUGAAGCUCCUUCCCACCAGUCGACUUUUUUGGGACGCAGCUCAAAACGCCCAAACACUCUCAUAUAAAGUUAAAUCUUCCCAGACCCCUAUAGCGCACUAGUAGAGUUCUCGAAAGCCGACAUCCUCUUGGGAAAGAGAGUCACACUUUGCGUGAAAUUGCAGAGAGCCUCUCGCUCUCUCCCUGCCGGAGACGCGGGUCAUCACCCGGUAUUUUUUCCAGCCCCCUCCACCGAGGUCAGCCCAGCCUCGGGUGGGGGCGCCGGAAAAAAUCCCCGGGAAUCUCCCCCGUCUCGGGGAGUGUUAUAGCCAGAGGCGCCAUGCAGCCCGCCCGGACCGAGGCCCGCGCUUCGGCUAGGAUGCUGGCGUAAUGGUUGUAAGCGACCCGUCUUGAAACACGGACCAAGGAGUCUAACAUCUAUGCGAGUGUUUGGGCGUCAAACCCAUGCGCGUAAUGAAAGUGAACGGAGGUGGGAACCCUCAAGGGUGCACCAUCGACCGAUCCUGAUGUCUUCGGAUGGAUUUGAGUAAGAGCAUAGCUGUUGGGACCCGAAGCUAUGCCUGAAUAGGGUGAAGCCAGAGGAAACGCAGCGGUUCUGACGUGCAAAUCGAUCGUCAA
RNAcentral lists this ribosomal RNA (742 nucleotides) under Acarospora strigata. RNAcentral describes it as "partial large subunit ribosomal RNA". It matches the Rfam family "Eukaryotic large subunit ribosomal RNA", at positions 124 to 908 of the family's 3401-position model. The record is from RNAcentral. Lineage: Eukaryota; Fungi; Ascomycota; Lecanoromycetes; Acarosporales; Acarosporaceae.